GUAGGUGGCAAGCGUUGUCCGGAAUUAUUGGGCGUAAAGCGCGCGCAGGCGGUUCUUUAAGUCUGAUGUGAAAGCCCACGGCUCAACCGUGGAGGGUCAUUGGAAACUGGAGAACUUGAGUACAGAAGAGGAAAGCGGAAUUCCACGUGUAGCGGUGAAAUGCGUAGAGAUGUGGAGGAACACAGUGGCGAAGGCGGCUUUCUGGUCUGUAACUGACGCUGAGGCGCGAAAGCGUGGGGAGCAAACAGGGAUUAGAUACCCUGGUAGUCCACGCCGUAAACGAUGAGUGCUAAGUGUUAGGGGGUUUCCGCCCCCUUAGUGCUGCAGCUAACGCAUUAAGCACUCCGCCUGGGGAUACGGCCGCAAGGCUG
This 371-nucleotide ribosomal RNA is filed under the name uncultured organism. RNAcentral describes it as "partial 16S ribosomal RNA". It matches the Rfam family "Bacterial small subunit ribosomal RNA", at positions 527 to 896 of the family's 1533-position model. The record is from RNAcentral.